This 482-nucleotide ribosomal RNA is filed under the name uncultured bacterium. Its description in RNAcentral is "partial 16S ribosomal RNA". It matches the Rfam family "Bacterial small subunit ribosomal RNA", at positions 30 to 507 of the family's 1533-position model. The record is from RNAcentral.
AUUGAACGCUGGCGGCAUGAUUUACACAUGCAAGUCGAACGGUAACAGGCCGCAAGGUGCUGACGAGUGGCGAACGGGUGCGUAAUGCAUCGGAACGUGCCCAGUCGUGGGGGAUAACUACUCGAAAGAGUAGCUAAUACCGCAUACGAUCUAUGGAUGAAAGCGGGGGACCGUAAGGCCUCGCGCGAUUGGAGCGGCCGAUGUCAGAUUAGGUAGUUGGUGGGGUAAAGGCUCACCAAGCCAACGAUCUGUAGCUGGCCUGAGAGGACGACCAGCCACACUGGGACUGAGACACGGCCCAGACUCCUACGGGAGGCAGCAGUGGGGAAUUUUGGACAAUGGGCGCAAGCCUGAUCCAGCAAUGCCGCGUGCAGGAAGAAGGCCUUCGGGUUGUAAACUGCUUUUGUACGGAACGAAACGGCUCUGGUUAAUACCCGGGGCUAAUGACGGUACCGUAAGAAUAAGCACCGGCUAACUACGUG